This 759-nucleotide ribosomal RNA is filed under the name Brachybacterium paraconglomeratum. RNAcentral's name for it is "bacterial SSU rRNA". It matches the Rfam family "Bacterial small subunit ribosomal RNA", at positions 87 to 858 of the family's 1533-position model. Lineage: Bacteria; Bacillati; Actinomycetota; Actinomycetes; Micrococcales; Dermabacteraceae. The record is from RNAcentral.
CCUGAUUAGUGGCGAACGGGUGAGUAACACGUGAGUAACCUGCCCUCCACUUCGGGAUAACCUCGGGAAAUCGUGGCUAAUACCGGAUAUGAGCACUCAUCGCAUGGUGAGUGCUGGAAAGAUUUAUCGGUGGGGGAUGGACUCGCGGCCUAUCAGUUUGUUGGUGAGGUGAUGGCUCACCAAGACGAUGACGGGUAGCCGGCCUGAGAGGGCGACCGGCCACACUGGGACUGAGACACGGCCCAGACUCCUACGGGAGGCAGCAGUGGGGAAUAUUGCACAAUGGGCGAAAGCCUGAUGCAGCGACGCCGCGUGGGGGAUGACGGCCUUCGGGUUGUAAACCCCUUUCAGUAGGGAAGAAGCGAGAGUGACGGUACCUGCAGAAGAAGCGCCGGCUAACUACGUGCCAGCAGCCGCGGUAAUACGUAGGGCGCAAGCGUUGUCCGGAAUUAUUGGGCGUAAAGAGCUUGUAGGUGGCUUGUCGCGUCUGCCGUGAAAACCCGAGGCUCAACCUCGGGCGUGCGGUGGGUACGGGCAGGCUAGAGUGUGGUAGGGGAGACUGGAACUCCUGGUGUAGCGGUGAAAUGCGCAGAUAUCAGGAAGAACACCGAUGGCGAAGGCAGGUCUCUGGGCCAUUACUGACACUGAGAAGCGAAAGCAUGGGUAGCGAACAGGAUUAGAUACCCUGGUAGUCCAUGCCGUAAACGUUGGGCACUAGGUGUGGGGGACAUUCCACGUUCUCCGCGCCGUAGCUAACGC